UGCCAGCAGCCGCGGUAACCCCGGCGCCACAAGUGGCAGUCGUAUUUAUUGGGUCUAAAGCGUUCGUAGUCGGUUUGAUAAAUCUUUCGUGAAAUCGUGGAGCUCAACUCCACGGCGUGCUGAAGACACUGUCAGGCUAGGGACCGGGAGGAGUUAGGGGUAUACCUGAGGGAGUGGUAAAAUGUGAUAAUCUCAGGCAGACCACCUGUGGCGAAGGCGCCUAACUAGAACGGAUCCGACGAUGAGGGACGAAGGCCAGGGGAGCGAACCGGAUUAGAUC
RNAcentral lists this ribosomal RNA (280 nucleotides) under uncultured bacterium. RNAcentral describes it as "partial 16S ribosomal RNA". It matches the Rfam family "Archaeal small subunit ribosomal RNA", at positions 456 to 735 of the family's 1478-position model. The record is from RNAcentral.